AGUCCUGGCUCAGAUUGGAACGGCUGGCGGAAUGCUUUACACAUGCAAGUCGAACGGCAGCACGGGGCAACCUGGUGGCGAGUGGCGAACGGGUGAGUAAUACAUCGGAACGUGCCCAAUCGUGGGGGAUAACGUAGCGAAAGUUACGCUAAUACCGCAUACGAUCUACGGAUGAAAGCGGGGGAUCGCAAGACCUCGCGCGAAUGGAGCGGCCGAUGUCAGAUUAGGUAGUUGGUGGGGUAAAGGCUCACCAAGCCGACGAUCUGUAGCUGGUCUGAGAGGACGACCAGCCACACUGGGACUGAGACACGGCCCAGACUCCUACGGAGGCAGCAGUGGGGAAUUUUGGACAAUGGGCGCAAGCCUGAUCCAGCCAUUCCGCGUGCAGGAUGAAGGCCUCGGGUUGU
This 407-nucleotide ribosomal RNA is filed under the name uncultured bacterium. RNAcentral's name for it is "bacterial SSU rRNA". It matches the Rfam family "Bacterial small subunit ribosomal RNA", at positions 15 to 426 of the family's 1533-position model. The record is from RNAcentral.